GACGAACGCUGGCGGCGUGCUUAACACAUGCAAGUCGAACGCUGAAGCUCAGCUUGCUGGGUGGAUGAGUGGCGAACGGGUGAGUAACACGUGAGUAACCUGCCCUCUUCUUUGGGAUAACGCCCGGAAACGGGUGCUAAUACUGGAUAUUCACUGAUUCUCGCAUGGGGGUUGGUGGAAAGGUUUUUUCUGGUGGGGGAUGGGCUCGCGGCCUAUCAGCUUGUUGGUGGGGUGAUGGCCUACCAAGGCUUUGACGGGUAGCCGGCCUGAGAGGGUGACCGGUCACAUUGGGACUGAGAUACGGCCCAGACUCCUACGGGAGGCAGCAGUGGGGAAUAUUGCACCAUGGGCGAAAGCCUGAUGCAGCGACGCCGCGUGAGGGAUGGAGGCCUUCGGGUUGUAAACCUCUUUCGCUCAUGGUCAAGCCGCAGCUUUGGGUUGUGGUGAGGGUAGUGGGUAAAGAAGCGCCGGCUAACUACGUG
Molecule: ribosomal RNA, 482 nt
Filed under: uncultured bacterium
Lineage: Bacteria
Description: partial 16S ribosomal RNA
Rfam family: Bacterial small subunit ribosomal RNA
Source: RNAcentral